This is a long non-coding RNA of Astatotilapia calliptera (eastern happy), 1366 nucleotides long. The record is from Ensembl. Lineage: Eukaryota; Metazoa; Chordata; Actinopteri; Cichliformes; Cichlidae.
UCCAAUUCUGUGUCUAUUGAUGGGAGAGUGGAUAGAGAGUUCACUGCCACUGCCAUGAGAACUGUCUGCGUGUUCCUGCAGAGACAAGAACCUGCUGUUCUUUGAAGGUUUGUAGGGGAAUUUUGUAAUGAUGAAAUAGUAAAACAGCACAGGACUGGUCAUAUAUGGUGCAUGUAAGUAAGGAACAGAGGUCAAGCAGAGGUAAGAAGGUGCCUUGAUGCUGAUAUGAGAUCUGAACCUGCUCAUAAUUUAGACAAGAUUCAGUAUAGAGGUUUCUCAGGUGCAUCAUGCCUGUUGUUUUGGCUGCUGCACUUUUUUCCCUUCUCAUCUUUUCGGACAGUUUUUUCCACUAAUGAGACUAUACUCGGAGCCUAUAGAGGUUCCACAGAAAGUCCAGGUUCUCCACAUCAAUAUCUGCCAUUGCCAGAAGGUUAGCUGUGUCUCCCAGCACAGUCUCAAGAGCAUGGAGGAAAUUCCAGGAGAGGCAGUUACUCUAGGGGAGCUGGGCAGGGCAGGUAUCUGCUUCUUUGUGCAAGGAGGAAUGGGAUGAGCACUGCCACUGCCUGACCUCCAGCAGUCUACCGGUUAUGAAUGACUAGUUGCACCCUGCGCUUUACACAGAUGAGGGCAGGUUCACCCUGAGUACAGUAUAGAUACUUUGCAUGAUUCAUCCAUCCAUCCAUUCAUCUUCCGCUUAUCCAUUUCAGGGUCAUUUUACAUGAUGUUUAUUUUAUUUUUUAUUUUUUUGAGAGUGAGAUCUCUUUUGAGCAGUGUAUGAUGCUGCAUGGUUUGAAUUACUCACUAUGAAAAAGUCCCGAUCCAAAACUUAAUGUCCACACCGAAUUUUGACUCAGCCCAAGAGGCACUCUUUUCUGAAAUAGUCAUAUAUGUGGUGUCUGGGACACUGUGAGCCCAUGGGAUGUAGUUGAAAUGCAUGAAAUAUGAAAGGUAUGUAAAGGUUAAAGACACACAAGACAGUAAAGUCAGAAUGCUUAACAGUGUACACGUGUUAUGUAAAGUGACCAUAAUGAGCCACAGUUUGUUUUUACCCUGUUAAAAUGAGCUAUUUAAUCUUUAAACAUUUGAGUUAUUCAGUUAUUAUUGCAAAAUGAAUAGCAGCUGUUCAGUAACAUACAGUGAACCCCCUCUUACACAACUCAAUAACUGUUUAUAAGGUGGUUCAGAUUUGGUCGUGUGAUUUUAUAAACAGACAUACUAAGCAUUAUAUUGAUCCUAUAUGUAAGGAGAAGCUGACAAACACAUUAAUGAACUAUUAUGUUGAAAUAUGUUAAACACAUAUCUCAGUAGUAGUACUAUAAACUGAAAAUUAGGUUUGGGCCUUUAGCAACGAGUACUGGGAGCAGCG